Molecule: ribosomal RNA, 253 nt
Filed under: uncultured bacterium
Lineage: Bacteria
Description: partial 16S ribosomal RNA
Rfam family: Bacterial small subunit ribosomal RNA
Source: RNAcentral
UACGUAGGGGGCUAGCGUUGUCCGGAAUCAUUGGGCGUAAAGAGCGUGUAGGCGGUCCGGUAAGUCCGCUGUGAAAGUCGGGGGCUCAACCCUCGAAUGCCGGUGGAUACUGUCGGGCUAGAGUGCGGAAGAGGCGAGUGGAAUUCCUGGUGUAGCGGUGAAAUGCGCAGAUAUCAGGAGGAACACCUAUUGCGAAGGCGGCUCGCUGGGACGUAACUGACGCUGAGGAGCGAAAGCGUGGGGAGCAAACAGG